CCCCACGGGACUCAGCAGUGAUAAA
RNAcentral lists this non-coding RNA (25 nucleotides) under Cricetulus griseus (Chinese hamster). Lineage: Eukaryota; Metazoa; Chordata; Mammalia; Rodentia; Cricetidae. RNAcentral also lists the same sequence under 1 other name. The record is from RNAcentral.